AUCGUAACUCCUACGGGAGGCAGCAGUGGGGAAUUUUGGACAAUGGGGGCAACCCUGAUCCAGCAAUGCCGCGUGAGUGAAGAAGGCCUUCGGGUUGUAAAGCUCUUUUGUCAGGGAAGAAACGGUAGUAGCUAAUAUCUAUUACUAAUGACGGUACCUGAAGAAUAAGCACCGGCUAACUACGUGCCAGCAGCCGCGGUAAUACGUAGGGUGCAAGCGUUAAUCGGAAUUACUGGGCGUAAAGCGUGCGCAGGCGGUUGUGUAAGUCAGAUGUGAAAUCCCCGGGCUCAACCUGGGAAUUGCAUUUGAGACUGUAUAGCUAGAGUACGGUAGAGGGGGAUGGAAUUCCGCGUGUAGCAGUGAAAUGCGUAGAUAUGCGGAGGAACACCGAUGGCGAAGGCAAUCCCCUGGACCUGUACUGACGCUCAUGCACGAAAGCGUGGGGAGCAAACAGGAUUAGAUACCCUGGUAGUCCUAGAGC
This 481-nucleotide ribosomal RNA is filed under the name uncultured bacterium. RNAcentral's name for it is "bacterial SSU rRNA". It matches the Rfam family "Bacterial small subunit ribosomal RNA", at positions 329 to 802 of the family's 1533-position model. The record is from RNAcentral.